CUGAGGCACUCAGGUGCCAGCGGCCGGAGCCGGCCAAGGAUGCCGUGCGCAGCCCCAGGACAUGAGGAGAUGAUGCUUGUGUGGAAUUAUGUUGCGAAGAAAGUGGCUGAAGCAACUGAACACCUCUUGUCCUCUUGUGAAAUGCAUAUUUUCUACUGAAGGGGCUGAUCCUACACACUGGUCUCCAUUACAGCUUCCCAGGGACCCAACCAGAAAAGUAAAGAUUAAUACCACCAUGCAACUUGGAGUUGGCAGUACUGAGAAGGAAAAGAAGGGAUGGGGCCGUGUAAGGGAAUGACCCAUGCUUCAGUACCACCACCAUCUUCUUCUGAGGUCCUGAAAAUAUGGCACAGUCUCACCAAGAGGAGGUUGGAAUUCUUCAGUCCUUCAUAAAUCAACAGGAAAGCGGGCACUAGAGGCACAGCUGAACUGCUGAUAAAUUACCAGGGACAACAUUUGCAUUAGGCUAUGCAAGAUGUGUUUAAUGGAGUGCUCUGAAGAAGCGAGGACCUGCUGGAGGGGUAAUGAGAUGUUACAUCUGGGGACAGCGAGAAGCAGAGAAAAAAAAGGGAAAGUAAUUAUCCAAGGUGUCAAAGUAAAAAUGAGCCUCAGUGAAAUAAAUCAGGGGUCUAAAGAGAUUAUUUGUGAAAGAAACAAAACCAACAAAUGAAAACAAAACUUUGAAUGUUGUGUGCAUUUUUGGUGGGCGGGAUUUGGAGGAGGAGGCUCCCAAGACUAGUGAGAGAAUGAAAUUUGAAUGGUGACUGUCAGGAACGAUGUGGAAAAAGUUGAUAGCAAAGAACUUCUGGGCAUGAGGGUAGAUCCUAAAAUGACGUAUUUUAGGAAUGAAGGACAUGAAGAAAAAUAAUGGCACAAGAGAAGCGUGGAGAAAGCCCAUGACUUUGAAGUUGGGGCUCAUCUCUCCAGUUAUCCAGGUGGGGCGUCUGAAAGUGACACUA
Manis pentadactyla (Chinese pangolin) is the source of this 959-nucleotide long non-coding RNA. RefSeq lists it as uncharacterized. The record is from RefSeq and is a predicted model, not a curated record. NCBI's taxonomy places the organism in Eukaryota, Metazoa, Chordata, Mammalia, Pholidota, Manidae. The transcript has 5 exons.